Molecule: ribosomal RNA, 336 nt
Filed under: Triticum aestivum (bread wheat)
Lineage: Eukaryota; Viridiplantae; Streptophyta; Magnoliopsida; Poales; Poaceae
Description: partial small subunit ribosomal RNA
Source: RNAcentral
AUGGGUCCACUUGGAGCUUGGAUAGUUGAGGUGGUGUCCAUGGGGAUGAUCGUGGGAUGCUCCGCAUCACAGCCUCUUCCCGGCCACCGAAAAUCCUCCUUGAAGAUCAUGCCAAUGGUCAUUCGAAGUCAUCAUCGUCUUCCUCCUCCUUCUCCUCCGACGAGUCCUCGAAGACCAUCUCCCUCAACCUCUUCAUCUACACCGGGCGCCAAUGACACGGUUCAAUUCAAUUGUCAAAAGAAAAACGAGUUGCAAAAACACGAAAAAAACUCACCUAGCCAAACCAUCGAACACUUGAAGGACGACAGAGGUGUCACGGCCCGUCGGCCAUGUUGA